RNAcentral lists this ribosomal RNA (119 nucleotides) under Lupinus angustifolius (narrow-leaved blue lupine). Lineage: Eukaryota; Viridiplantae; Streptophyta; Magnoliopsida; Fabales; Fabaceae. The record is from RNAcentral.
UGGUGUGAUCAUACCAACACCAAUGCACCUGAUCCCAUCAGAAUUCCACAAUCAAGCAUGCAUGGGCGAGAGUACUACUAGGAUGGGUGACCUCCUGUGAAGUCUUUGUGUUGUACCUC